GGGAACUGCUGAAUCAUGGCCUGAACCUCUGAUCACCUGAGGCGAGCCAUGAGUCAGCCAGAGGAGUACAGGUGAAGGCAAUUCACCUGUGCUGCUGGAAGGGGUGGAGCCUGGCUGCACCCCUCCUAGACCUAUUUAAGAGCUGGCUGCCAGUGGGGGAGGAUCUCUUCUGGAGAUCCCUUCUCCUGGUGCUUUCUGUAGGAAAGCUUGGCCAGCGUAUCUGAGCACAACCUGCCUUGCCAGUGGGUGCAAUUUCUGGGAGACCCAGAGAAAGCUCUGCCUUCAUUACCAGAAACAGAGCACCAGCAAUAUGGGGCUCAAGCCCAGCACAGACUUCAACACUGAGGGGAGAAGGCAUCAACUUUUCCAUGUUGAAGGAACUCAACGAAACUCCCUGGCAAGACUCUCUUAUGGCUACCCUCAAGGGGAAAAAACUGCAAAGAAAAAAUGAAGAUAGUGGUAGCAAAAACAAGCUGAAACUGAAAGAACAUAAAAGACAUACUGCUUCAUGAACUUGCAGGCGAAACUUUAAAUGAAGAAAACAAAUCAGGCUGGAAACUCCACAAAACAAAAAAGUUCUUACCAGGUUUUCACUCAUGCUUGUAAUAAAUAUAUGACAGUGUAACAGCUGAACUUAGUCUCUGGUACUUUAAUAACUUUUGAUGCUUUUUGACCUUGAGGGAAAGGCAUGGGAACUUGAAUACCAAUGGGAUCAGUGUGCCUGUUUGAAGUUAUGCUGUGGAUGCUGCCAAUACCCCUGCUUAAAGAGGCAUUUUUCCAGAAGUGACUGAGAAAGAGAAUGAGCUUGCAUUGAGCUCUCACUAAUGGACUGCAAAACUUUAAUCUUGAGGAGGAAAUUCCUUCAAU
Tympanuchus pallidicinctus (lesser prairie-chicken) is the source of this 867-nucleotide long non-coding RNA. RefSeq lists it as uncharacterized. The record is from RefSeq and is a predicted model, not a curated record. The transcript is spliced from 5 exons. Lineage: Eukaryota; Metazoa; Chordata; Aves; Galliformes; Phasianidae.